CAAAACGAAAGUACAUUUCCCGCGGGCAAGCAUUCGACUAUUCGAUAAGUUCCACGCAAAUAGCAUGUGUACACUACACACAAGAGCCAGUGGACAAUAACACACUUCACUCAUGGGUUCACUGUCUAGUAGAAGUUCAAACUCAAGUAAAAACGAUUCUAAAAUCGGAGGCGACUGGAACUUCUUGAAGUAUAGAAUUUACUUCGAUCCCGAUGUAGAUGGAGUGAGGUUCGAUAAUAUUAAAGACGAGGACCUUAUGAGUAAAUUCACAUCUCUUUUAGGGACAAAUGAGAAGAUAAACGAGGUGGAGACAUAUAAACGCCUCUGGUAUGGCCAACUAAUGAGGUAUUUUAUCAUAAGUAUGUCGUAUUUCAAACCGACAAUUGGAAAUGGUCAAUUGAAAAGUAUACUGAUGGUAUUACGAUUCAGCGCGGCAAAUCCGUGAAAAACAAAUAUAGACAAAAAUCUCGGAACAUCCCGCGGAAACUUUUGGAAAGGGGAAACGGAGCUAUGGGUGUGUGUGAUCUGAUUGAAUGGCUGUAUAGCGAGAAUGAACUGCAAAGCAAGUUCCAAUUUGUAUAACGACAACUGCAUACACUUUGCUGAUCAUGUAUUUAAAAAUGUGACAAGUCCAGAGGCAUAUGCAUCCAUGAAACAACGGUUUAAUUUAGAUCUCAUUGAUACGGGAGCGUAUGAAAAAAAGUACAGACGCAUUACAGAAGAAGAACUAAUGGCUUAUGCAAGGGAAUGUGAAGCAAUGAGAGGAGUCGUUACAAUGAGUGCUAGCGUUAAAAUUGGGAUAUCUAAUUUACAAAUUGAACGCUUCGUGCAUGUUCUCGAAACCAACACUGGUUGGUGGUCCAUCGAAUUAUUCUCAGGCACGUCGCUUUGAUUCGGAAAAAUCUCUAAAAAACAAAUUGAUCGGGUUAAACCCUUGUGCAAAGUUUAACUACACCAGAGAAAAUGUCUUUAAUAAGAAAAUGUGUGAUGUCGUAGAAAUGAUAUGUAAAGAAGAUACUAUCAAAAAGCGAAUAUAACUCUAUCCCUGUUUUUGUACAGCCAAUCCUUUUUGUAUUGGAUAUUUUUGUCGUCUGUAUUUGACUACUAAGUAUUUGAACACAUGAAAUUUACAAAACCCCAUACAUCUUAACUUCUUCCUGCAUUGAACGACAAUGACCUGUUUUCUAAACUAUAUGUUGUCAUAUCUCUAACGCUUUUUAGCAAAGACGAGAUGAAUUUAAUACUUGGUUUGGUUUCAUUUCAUCGUGCCUCUGAAAUUAACGUGCCUUUAGCUUUAGUUUGUAUUCAACCCUAGACAAUAACAAUGGUGAUUUAAAAGGACAUAGAUACAUUCUUUUCUGGUGUACUUUGAUUUGAAUUGUGAAACAAUUCGGCUAUUAUGUUCUUCAAUUACUGUUUUGAGCUCCUAAAAAUGCCCUUUAACCCAAAAUGCUGGGAAUUGAAGGUUUCAAAGUGGUUACUCCGAUUUUAUUCAUUGUUUGU
Molecule: long non-coding RNA, 1503 nt
Organism: Dreissena polymorpha
Lineage: Eukaryota; Metazoa; Mollusca; Bivalvia; Myida; Dreissenidae
Exons: 3
Source: RefSeq, a predicted model, not a curated record